RNAcentral lists this ribosomal RNA (579 nucleotides) under uncultured archaeon. RNAcentral's name for it is "bacterial SSU rRNA". It matches the Rfam family "Archaeal small subunit ribosomal RNA", at positions 36 to 592 of the family's 1478-position model. The record is from RNAcentral.
GGAUGGGACUAAGACAUGUUAGUUGUGCGUCUCUCAACUAUGAAGGAGACGCGGCAUACGGCUCAGUAACAUGUGGCUAACCUACCCUUAGGACAGAGACACCCCGGGAAACUGGGGCUAAUCCUUGAUAGGCGUGAACUCUUGGAAUAGGUUCACACCCAAAAGACGUUUAAAUCAUGCUUUGGACGUCGCCUAAGGAUGGGGCCGCAGCCGAUCAGGUUGUUGGCGAGGUAACGGCUCACCAAGCCUUUGACCGGUACGGGCCGCGGGAGCGGUAGCCCGGAGAUGGACACUGAUACAAGGGUCCAGGCCCUACGGGGCGCAGCAGUCGCGAAAACUCCGCAAUACACGAAAGUGUGACGGGGCUAUCCCGAGUGCCGUCCGCUGAGGAUGGCUUUUCUCCAGUGUAACAAGCUGGAGGAAUAAGGAGAGGGCAAGUCUGGUGUCAGCCGACGCGGUAAUACCAGCUCUCCGAGUGGUAGGGAUGUUUAUUGGGCUUAAAGCGUCCGUAGCCGGCUUAACAAGUCCUCCGUUAAAUCCAGCGAUUCAAUCGUUGGACUGCGGGGGAUACUGUUAGGC